This 961-nucleotide ribosomal RNA is filed under the name Kocuria rosea. Its description in RNAcentral is "bacterial SSU rRNA". It matches the Rfam family "Bacterial small subunit ribosomal RNA", at positions 507 to 1504 of the family's 1533-position model. The record is from RNAcentral. Lineage: Bacteria; Bacillati; Actinomycetota; Actinomycetes; Micrococcales; Micrococcaceae.
CCCAGCAGCCCGCGGUAAUACGUAGGGCGCAAGCGUUGUCCGGAAUUAUUGGGCGUAAAGAGCUCGUAGGCGGUUUGUCGCGUCUGCUGUGAAAGCCCGGGGCUCAACCCCGGGUCUGCAGUGGGUACGGGCAGACUAGAGUGCAGUAGGGGAGACUGGAAUUCCUGGUGUAGCGGUGAAAUGCGCAGAUAUCAGGAGGAACACCGAUGGCGAAGGCAGGUCUCUGGGCUGUUACUGACGCUGAGGAGCGAAAGCAUGGGGAGCGAACAGGAUUAGAUACCCUGGUAGUCCAUGCCGUAAACGUUGGGCACUAGGUGUGGGGGACAUUCCACGUUUUCCGCGCCGUAGCUAACGCAUUAAGUGCCCCGCCUGGGGAGUACGGCCGCAAGGCUAAAACUCAAAGGAAUUGACGGGGGCCCGCACAAGCGGCGGAGCAUGCGGAUUAAUUCGAUGCAACGCGAAGAACCUUACCAAGGCUUGACAUUCACCGGACCGCCCCAGAGAUGGGGUUUCCCUUCGGGGCUGGUGGACAGGUGGUGCAUGGUUGUCGUCAGCUCGUGUCGUGAGAUGUUGGGUUAAGUCCCGCAACGAGCGCAACCCUCGUUCUAUGUUGCCAGCACGUGAUGGUGGGGACUCAUAGGAGACUGCCGGGGUCAACUCGGAGGAAGGUGGGGAUGACGUCAAAUCAUCAUGCCCCUUAUGUCUUGGGCUUCACGCAUGCUACAAUGGCCGGUACAAAGGGUUGCGAUACUGUGAGGUGGAGCUAAUCCCAAAAAGCCGGUCUCAGUUCGGAUUGAGGUCUGCAACUCGACCUCAUGAAGUCGGAGUCGCUAGUAAUCGCAGAUCAGCAACGCUGCGGUGAAUACGUUCCCGGGCCUUGUACACACCCCCCGUCAAUUCUCGCAAGGUGGCAGUAUAGUUUGAUCCCGGGUCUAGGAUAAGUCGUAACAAGGUAACCGUA